GACGAACCGUGCGAACGUUGUUCGGAUUCACUGGGCUUAAAGGGCGCGUAGGCGGGCUCGCCAGUCUGUGGUGAAAGCCCCCGGCUUAACCGGGGAAGUGCCGUGGAUACUGCGAGUCUGGAGGAGGGUAGGGGCAUCUGGAACGCUGGGUGGAGCGGUGAAAUGCGUUGAUAUCCAGCGGAACUCCGGUGGCGAAGGCGAGGUGCUGGACCCUUUCUGACGCUGAGGCGCGAAAGCCAGGGGAGCAAACGGG
Molecule: ribosomal RNA, 253 nt
Filed under: uncultured bacterium
Lineage: Bacteria
Description: partial 16S ribosomal RNA
Rfam family: Bacterial small subunit ribosomal RNA
Source: RNAcentral